Molecule: non-coding RNA, 97 nt
Organism: Tricharina praecox
Lineage: Eukaryota; Fungi; Ascomycota; Pezizomycetes; Pezizales; Pyronemataceae
Source: the annotation of a RefSeq genome assembly
UCCUCCGUGGCGCAAUUGGCUAGCGCGUUCGACUGUUAUUCCCACUUCUGUAGUUUCGGCGAUCGAGAGGUUGGUGGUUCAAGCCCACCCGGAGGAG